UGGCUAGGAUGAAAUUUGAAAAAAUAGGCAGGACAGGAGUUUUGAGUAAAAAAAAGGCAGGAUGAACAACUUGGUAAAAAAAAAAGGCAGGAUGACAUUUUAUGUAAAAAAAAGUCAGGAUAAACUAGUAAAAAAAAGGCAGGACCGAAUAGAGUAAAAAAUAAUAAAAAGGCAGGACAGGGAUUACAACUAAAAAAAAAAGCAGGAC
Molecule: long non-coding RNA, 208 nt
Filed under: Mytilus galloprovincialis (Mediterranean mussel)
Lineage: Eukaryota; Metazoa; Mollusca; Bivalvia; Mytilida; Mytilidae
Source: RNAcentral